This 253-nucleotide ribosomal RNA is filed under the name uncultured bacterium. RNAcentral's name for it is "partial 16S ribosomal RNA". It matches the Rfam family "Bacterial small subunit ribosomal RNA", at positions 524 to 776 of the family's 1533-position model. The record is from RNAcentral.
UACGUAGGGGGCAAGCGUUGUCCGGAAUCAUUGGGCGUAAAGCGCGCGUAGGCGGCCCGGUAAGUCCGUUGUGAAAGUCAAAGGCUCAACCUUUGAACGCCGAUGGAUACUGCCGGGCUAGAGUCCGGAAGAGGCGAGUGGAAUUCCUGGUGUAGCGGUGAAAUGCGUAGAUAUAGGAAGGAACACCAGUGGCGAAGGCGACCACCUGGACUGAUACUGACACUGAGGUGCGAAAGCGUGGGGAGCAAACAGG